Molecule: ribosomal RNA, 460 nt
Filed under: uncultured bacterium
Lineage: Bacteria
Description: partial 16S ribosomal RNA
Rfam family: Bacterial small subunit ribosomal RNA
Source: RNAcentral
CCUACGGGUGACAGCAGUGAGGAAUAUUGGUCAAUGGACGAGAGUCUGAACCAGCCAAGUAGCGUGAAGGAUGACUGCCCUAUGGGUUGUAAACUUCUUUUAUAUGGGAAUAAAAUGUUCCACGUGUGGGAUUUUGUAUGUACCAUAUGAAUAAGGAUCGGCUAACUCCGUGCCAGCAGCCGCGGUAAUACGGAGGAUCCGAGCGUUAUCCGGAUUUAUUGGGUUUAAAGGGAGCGUAGGUGGAUUGUUAAGUCAGUUGUGAAAGUUUGCGGCUCAACCGUAAAAUUGCAGUUGAAACUGGCAGUCUUGAGUACAGUAGAGGUGAGCGGAAUGCGUGGUGUAGCGGUGAAAUGCUUAGAUAUCACGAAGAACUCCGAUUGCGAAGGCAGUUCACUGGACUGCAACUGACACUGAGGCUCGAAAGUGUGGGUAUCAAACAGGAUUAGAUACCCCUGUAGUC